CAGUAGCCGCGGUAAUACAGAGGGUGCAAGCGUUAAUCGGAAUUACUGGGCGUAAAGCGCGCGUAGGUGGUUCGUUAAGUUGGAUGUGAAAUCCCCGGGCUCAACCUGGGAACUGCAUUCAAAACUGACGAGCUAGAGUAUGGUAGAGGGUGGUGGAAUUUCCUGUGUAGCGGUGAGAUGCGUAGAUAUAGGAAGGAACACCAGUGGCGAAGGCGACCACCUGGACUGAUACUGACACUGAGGUGCGAAAGCGUGGGGAGCAAACAGGAUUAGAUACCCGUGUAGUCCCUGUCUCUUAUAC
This 301-nucleotide ribosomal RNA is filed under the name uncultured bacterium. RNAcentral describes it as "partial 16S ribosomal RNA". It matches the Rfam family "Bacterial small subunit ribosomal RNA", at positions 509 to 807 of the family's 1533-position model. The record is from RNAcentral.